RNAcentral lists this ribosomal RNA (301 nucleotides) under uncultured bacterium. Its description in RNAcentral is "partial 16S ribosomal RNA". It matches the Rfam family "Bacterial small subunit ribosomal RNA", at positions 509 to 809 of the family's 1533-position model. The record is from RNAcentral.
CAGUCGCCGCGGGAAUACGAAGGGGGCUAGCGUUGUUCGGAAUUACUGGGCGUAAAGCGCACGUAGGCGGAUAUUUAAGUCAGGGGUGAAAUCCCAGAGCUCAACUCUGGAACUGCCUUUGAUACUGGGUAUCUUGAGUAUGGAAGAGGUGAGUGGAAUUCCGAGUGUAGAGGUGAAAUUCGUAGAUAUUCGGAGGAACACCAGUGGCGGAGGCGGCUCACUGGUCCAUUACUGACGCUGAGGUGCGAAAGCGUGGGGAGCAAACAGGAUUAGAUACCCCAGUAGUCCCUGUCUCUUAUAU